This 348-nucleotide ribosomal RNA is filed under the name Hoplisoma potaroensis. RNAcentral describes it as "Corydoras potaroensis partial 12S ribosomal RNA". It matches the Rfam family "Bacterial small subunit ribosomal RNA", at positions 870 to 1384 of the family's 1533-position model. The record is from RNAcentral. Lineage: Eukaryota; Metazoa; Chordata; Actinopteri; Siluriformes; Callichthyidae.
CGCCAGGGUACUACGAGCGUAGCUUAAAACCCAAAGGACUUGGCGGUGUCUCAGACCCACCUAGAGGAGCCUGUUCUAGAACCGAUAAUCCCCGUUAAACCUCACCACUUCUUGUUAAUCCCGCCUAUAUACCGCCGUCGCCAGCUUACCCCAUGAGGGUUUAACAGUAAGCAAAAUGGACUAAACCCCAAAACGUCAGGUCGAGGUGUAGCGCACGAAGUGGGAAGAAAUGGGCUACAUUUUCUACAACAGAAAAUAACGAAUGGUCUACUGAAACACAUACCUGAAGGAGGAUUUAGCAGUAAAAAGCAAAUAGAGAGUCCUUUUGAACCAGGCUCUGAGACACGC